Molecule: long non-coding RNA, 589 nt
Filed under: Bos taurus (domestic cattle)
Lineage: Eukaryota; Metazoa; Chordata; Mammalia; Artiodactyla; Bovidae
Description: long non-coding RNA NONBTAT009262
Source: RNAcentral
GUCUACAAGCAGGUCCAUUUGCCAGUUAACCUCAGACUAUUUCCCUCUAGCCAAAUUACAGACAUGGUCCUUAGCUUAGAACCUUUGUGGUGAGCAGUGAAUUAGAACGUAGGGAGUCAGGUGUUUUUAAGGAAUAUUUCCAUUCAGCUAGGAUAUUAAGAUUAUUCCAUUCUCCAGAUCAAAGAUGUCUAGAACAUCAGGAUUGGACUUUCAGAUCAGAGACGAAUCUCCUGUGGACCAGUUGGAUAGACACUGAAGUUUUUAUUUCUUGGCCUUCCUCUAACUAAACUCCAUACCACCCUCUUAAGAUAAUCAGAUGUGUCAGACCGUUGGUUUAAUUUACAACUUUAUUUGCAUUAAAUGCAUUACAAUUCUUGGGACAUACCCUAAUGGAUCAACUUGAUUAGACUGAGAAACUCUCCAGUCUAAAUACCCAUCUAGCGAGUGCCUCGCAGAGUAUCCUGGUCCCUUUAUUUCCAUUUAGAAGUUGUCUCUUAAUUUGAAUUAUUUGGCAAGUGGCUAAAAGCAUUUGUUCUUUAUUGAUUUUGAUGGAUUCAAUUUCAGAGAGUGACUUUUUCUGUCCUUGUUA